Mirounga angustirostris (Northern elephant seal) is the source of this 4574-nucleotide long non-coding RNA. RefSeq lists it as uncharacterized. Lineage: Eukaryota; Metazoa; Chordata; Mammalia; Carnivora; Phocidae. The record is from RefSeq and is a predicted model, not a curated record. The transcript is spliced from 3 exons.
AUGAACCGACAGACUGCAUGCAUGGCAUGUAUAGAUGGAUGGAUGGAUCGAUGGAUCGAUGGAUCGAUGGAUCGAUCGAUCCAUGGAUCGAACGGUGAAGAGAGCCAGGGUGAGGGUGAGGGUGAGGGUGAGGGUGAGGGUGAGGGUGAGGGUGAGGGUCCCGUCCGUCCCUCCCUCCUUCCCUAUGUCCAUCACAUUGUUUCGUCACAGAUUUUCGAAGUGGAGAUACAAUUCGCAUGCCAUAUUUCGCAUACUCUUAAAAGUGGGCCAUUGGGUGGCCUUUUUUUCUUUUUUUUUAAGGUGGCUCACAAAGCUGCACAACCUUCACUGCAAUUUCCAGAACAUUUCCAUCACCGCCAAAAGAAAUAAACACCUCUACUACCCCUCCCCCCUUCCUGUCCGCGCCUCGCCCCCACCCGCCGUCACCGUCGCCCUCGCCGUCACCGUCGCCCUCGCCCUCACCCGGGCUCUCUUCACUGUUCUCCCCCAACAGGGAGUAGAAAGGGAAGUUAGAGGGAACAUUCUUCCUCCCCUACACCUGCUGAACGCACAUGGACACACACCGCAACCCUCCCCGCCAGGCGCGCGCACCCACCCACCCCCGCCCCGCCAAGCCCCGCCCCGCCCCGCCACGCCACGCCACGCCCCCCAUCCCGGCCUUACGUGUACCUUACGUACCUCUGCACGGACUCGAGAUUUGGCAAUAGCCUUGAUUGCCCUGCAAUGUUUCCAAACCUCGGCGCUCCCCAACCUUCCCCACCCCGACCCCCGCCCCUUCGAAGAAGAACUAACCUAAUUCGGGGAGCUUCCAGGUUGCUUGAACGCCUGAAAUGGUGGGGACAGAGGCGUUCCUGGAGAGGGGUCACGGAACACGGAAGCUCUGCCCCCCUUCCCUUUGCCUCUGUUCCAUCUGGAGUUUCCUCAGUUGUAUCCUUUUAGGACACAGCGGUCAUGUAAGAAAUGAGAAAAAAAAGGACUGAAGGACUGAACCGGGCUAGACUGGUUUAAAAUUCUUCACUAGCGUCCAUGCCGAAUACAUUUCGACGACAGGGGCCUUCGCACGGCUUUUGGUGCACAGAAGACCGAUGCACCGAAGCCUGCCGAUCUCGGGACGUGUCCACGAGGGGAAAGAGUGUCAGCCUAUCGGAAAAGAGAGUCGGUUAACGUAGAUUGCAAAGGCAUUCGUUCAUCCCGAGAGACUUCCUCUCCAUGAUGGCGGGUGGCGCGAGAUGGAAGAGUUGGCUUCCAUGAAAAAGGGGCCCUUUCUUGAAGACCCUGCCCAGCUAUCGGGGUUUUGUUGGUUUGUGUUUUGUCAUCUGUGAUAGGAAGGCAUCUUCUUAGCCAUCGGGAGGGAAACCUCAACAAAUUCAGCCAUUCAGAUCACAAGGGAUUUCUUGGGUUUGGUGGAUCUGAGAUCUGGUCUGCCUCCGACUGCUCCCCGAGAUUGCCUUUAUGCCGAGAAUGGGAUUCCUCAUCAGACACACAGAAGUCCGGCUCCUUGCCACGGAGCUGGCUGCUCUAUGGAUGCCUUUAAAAAGGAAGCCUGCCUUUAAUUCGGACGUCGGAACGUGAUCGGUCGCUUUUUCAUGGGGGGUUGGCCAAUUAAAUUUCCCCCGCCUUGGGCGCCUGGGUGGCUCAGUUGGUUAAGCGGCUGCCUUCGGCUCCGGUCAUGAUCCUGGAGUCCCUGGAUCGAGUCCCGCAUCGGGCUCCCUGCUCAGCAGGGAGUCUGCUUCUCCCUCUGACCCUCCCCCCUCUCAUGUGCUCUCUCUCAUUCAUUCUCUCUCUCUCUCUCUCUCUCUCUCUCUCUCUGUCUCAAAUAAAUAAACAAACAAACAAACAAACAAAUAAAUAAAUAAAUAAAAUCUUAAAAAAAAAAAAUUCCCCCCGCCUUACAAAGCAGAGACUGGUGAAGGGUCCUCCAAGUGCCCUCUGGAAAUCAAGAGCUUCUGUAUCAAGAGGCUGGAAAACGCAUCUUCCCCUUCUUCCUGGUGAAUCCAAUUCUAGGGGUUGAUUCAAAGGAAAUCAUGUUUUAGAUGCUAAAACGUAAAGCUUACUUUUGCAAAAAUGUGCAUCGCGGCAUAGGGUUUAGGAAUCCCUUGUGGCAGACCGACAACCGUGUGUCCCUCACGUCCCGGCACGUGUGCACCCUCACGUCCUAUGACUUCGAUGCUCCUGCUAUCCAGAGGUAGGCUUGAUUGCUCUGUCCCUUGAUUUUGGACCGGGUCUUGGGACUUGUCUUGACCCAAAGAAUAGAGCAGAAGUGACACUUGGCUGGUUUCACAGCCUACACCUGAAGAGGUGGUCUGCCGGCGUUCUCGACCUUCUUGGCAUGCCGUCCUGAGACCUCCACGUAAGAAAGCCAGUCUAGCUGACUGGAGCAUGAGAGGCAUUGACAACAGAGGCAGCCCGGUGCUCGGCGGCACCGACUGCCAGACGUGUGAAAGUUGACCCUCUGGCCGAAAGCCACUGCUUGAGUGAGCCCGGCGUAAACCCGCAGAACCCAAGGGGCCACCCAGGGCAAGCACCAGGAAGUUAUCGAUAAAGAAAUGCUGUUUCGAGCCAUUGCGGUGUUAGGAUGAUGCACCCUGAGGAUCAGCUAGCUGCGCAGCAGCGAUAGAUACCGUGCACACAGAUACACACCACACAACACACCACACCACACCCCCCCCACACACACACGUGUGCAGAAAACCAAACCAACGAAACAAACCAAAACUCUGUAGAACCCUGCACCAAAUGUUGAGGAAACAACGGCCCACCCUCACAAGAAACACCUGCACGCUACAUGUACAAUGCAUAGGGAGCCUAUACUUGCAAGUGCUUACUUGCAUGGGAAACAUUUCACGAUAACAUGAGUCUCAGAUGGCCCAAGCGGGGUUCUUUUGACAUGUCUGAAUUGUGUACACAAUUAGAGAAAGCCUGCUAGGAGACUGGGUGAUCAGAAACUAGGAAGCUCUUUGGUUCCCUCAGUGAAGCCCCGACUUUUGGGGAGGAACCAACACUCAGGGAGAUGCUCUGGUCUUCAUUUGGUUGGUUGGUUGGUUGGUUGGUUGGUUGGUUGGUUGCUGCAGCUUUUGCUAUCUUUGCAUAAAACCGACCCUGUUUCCAUUGGGAAUGGAAAACAACUGACGGGUGGGAUCUGUACACGGUAAUGCUGCUUCGCAGUUGCAUUUGUUUUACUAAAAGAGGGAGAUUUGAACAUUGGGUCUUUCGUGUCCUCUCCAUUCAUGUCCUCUCCACAAAUAAGACUGAAACAAAGGCUAAAAUUUGUUUGCAUCUUGUUUGUGUCUAUGUGUCCGUAUGUGUUAUACAUGUGAGGUAUUUCCUCCACCUCCGGGUGCUAUUGCUAACAUCCAUUUGUAAAGGAGCUCUAUUUAAUGAGUUCUAUUUUUAUUUUAUUUUAUUUUAUUUUAUUUAUUUUAUUCUUUAAAGAUUUUAUUUAUUUAUUUGACAGAGAGAGACACAGCGAGAGAGGGAACACAAGCAGGCGGAGUGGGAGAGGGAGAAGCAGGCUUCCCGCCGAGCAGGGAGCCCGAUGCAGGGGCUUGAUCCCAGGACCCUCGGAUCAUGACCUGAGCUAAAGGCAGACGCUUAACCACUGAGCCAUCCAGUCAAAAUAAUGAAGAAGAGGAGGAAGACAGGCCGAUGCUAGAAAUCUGAAAUCCACUCCUCCUCCUCCCCAAGUACAGGCACCAGAACCGAUGCCCAACCCACUGGCUUCCGGAGGGCUGAAAAGCCACCACAGACAAAGCCUAUUAAGCAGAAGGAGAUGAAGAAAGGGGCGGAGGCGGAGGCGGAGGCGGAGGCGGAGGCGGAGGCGGAGGCGGAGGCGGAGGCGGAGGCGGAGGCGGAGGCGGAGGCGGAGGCGGAGGCGGAGGCGGAGGCGGAGGCGGAGAAGAAAAAAAAGAAAAGGCCCUGCUACCAAAUACUGGCUGUCUCUGCAGAAGUCUGGACUCAAGGUCAACUGAUAAUGGCUGCAGCCUAUGAAGAAGCGAGGUCCUGAUUCCUUACCUGAGAAAAGGAGCCUAAGACCCCAUCCAGGUUGUACCAGCUCUCAGAGCAUGCCCACAGCCUCUUCUCCUUGUCCUCAGAUAACCUCCUGACAUCAGGGACUCAGUUUUGCCUCAUUCAGAUGUCAGGUCUCCACCCCGAAGUAAACAUGGGAAUCUAUGGUACAUAUGUUUCCUGAAUAUACGUGCUCCAACUUUCGCCAUGAAUAAUCAUAAAUGUCCCUGCCCUUUUCCUUUUUGAAGUUUGAUUGUUUGUUUUUAUUUAUUUAUUUCAGAGAGAGAGACACACAGAGAGAGACAGAGACAGAGAGAGAAACACACAGAGAGAGAGAGAGACAGAGAGACAGAGAGACAGAGAGACAGAGAGACAGAGAGCUUGCACGCAUGGGUGGGUGGAGGGGCAGAGGGAGAGGGAGAAGACUCCCCAUUGAGCAGGGAGCCCCAGAGGGGUGGGGCUCGAUCCCAGCACCCUGAGAUUAUGACCUGAGCUGAAGGCAGAUGCUCAACCGGCAGCCACCCAGGCGCCCCUCCAUUCCAUUUUUUUUUUUUAAAGAGAUAAACAUU